GGCCUAACACAUGCAAGUCGAACGCGAAAGUCCCGCAAGGGAUUAGUAGAGUGGCAAACGGGUGAGUAACACGUGGGUGACCUGCCUUCGAGUGGGGGAUAACGUCCCGAAAGGGACGCUAAUACCGCAUGACAUCCUGCCUUUGAAGAGGUGGAGCUUAAAGCUGGGGAUCGCAAGACCUGGCGCUUGAAGAGGGGCCCGCGCCUGAUUAGCUAGUUGGUGAGGUAACGGCUCACCAAGGCAUCGAUCAGUAUCCGGCCUGAGAGGGCGGACGGACACACUGGGACUGAGACACGGCCCAGACUCCUACGGGAGGCAGCAGUGGGGAAUUGUUCGCAAUGGGCGCAAGCCUGACGACGCAACGCCGCGUGGAGGAUGAAGAUCUUCGGGUCGUAAACUCCUUUCGAUCGAGACGAACGGCUUCCGGGUGAACAAUCCGGAAGAGUGACG
Molecule: ribosomal RNA, 450 nt
Filed under: uncultured Acidobacteriota bacterium
Lineage: Bacteria; Pseudomonadati; Acidobacteriota
Description: bacterial SSU rRNA
Rfam family: Bacterial small subunit ribosomal RNA
Source: RNAcentral